This 273-nucleotide ribosomal RNA is filed under the name uncultured bacterium. Its description in RNAcentral is "partial 16S ribosomal RNA". It matches the Rfam family "Bacterial small subunit ribosomal RNA", at positions 524 to 796 of the family's 1533-position model. The record is from RNAcentral.
UACGUAGGGUGCAAGCGUUAAUCGGAAUUACUGGGCGUAAAGCGUGCGCAGGCGGUUUUGUAAGUCUGAUGUGAAAUCCCCGGGCUCAACCUGGGAAUUGCAUUGGAGACUGCAAGGCUAGAAUCUGGCAGAGGGGGGUAGAAUUCCACGUGUAGCAGUGAAAUGCGUAGAUAUGUGGAGGAACACCGAUGGCGAAGGCAGCCCCCUGGGUCAAGAUUGACGCUCAUGCACGAAAGCGUGGGGAGCAAACAGGAUUAGAUACCCCGGUAGUCC